CUGAGUACGGCGGAACACGUGAAAUUCCGUCGGAAUCCGGGAGGACCAUCUCCCAAGGCUAAAUACUCCCUAGUGACCGAUAGUGAACCAGUACCGUGAGGGAAAGGUGAAAAGCACCCCGGAAGGGGAGUGAAACAGUUCCUGAAACCGUGUGCCUACAAGUAGUUAGAGCCCGUUAAUGGGUGAUAGCGUGCCUUUUGUAGAAUGAACCGGCGAGUUACGAUUUGUUGCAAGGUUAAGCGGAAAAAGCGGAGCCGUAGCGAAAGCGAGUCUGAAUAGGGCGCAUAAGUAACAGGUCGUAGACCCGAAACCAGGUGAUCUACCCAUGUCCAGGAUGAAGGUAAGGUAAUACUUACUGGAGGUCCGAACCCACGCACGUUGAAAAGUGCGGGGAUGAGGUGUGGGUAGCGGAGAAAUUCCAAUCGAACUUGGAGAUAGCUGGUUCUCUCCGAAAUAGCUUUAGGGCUAGCCUCGAGGUAAAGAGUCAUGGAGGUAGAGCACUGUUUGGACUAGGGGCCCUUCUCGGGUUACCGAAUUCAGAUAAACUCCGAAUGCCAUGUACUUAUACUCGGGAGUCAGACUGCGAGUGAUAAGAUCCGUAGUCGAAAGGGAAACAGCCCAGACCACCAGUUAAGGUCCCCAAAUAUAUGUUAAGUGGAAAAGGAUGUGGGGUUGCUUAGACAACCAGGAUGUUGGCUUAGAAGCAGCCACCAUUGAAAGAGUGCGUAAUAGCUCACUGGUCGAGUGACCCCGCGCCGAAAAUGUACCGGGGCUAAACAUAUUACCGAAACUGUGGAUGAACCUCUUUAGAGGUUCGUGGUAGGAGAGCGUUCUAAGGGCGGUGAAGUCAGACCGGAAGGACUGGUGGAGCGCUUAGAAGUGAGAAUGCCGGUAUGAGUAGCGAAAGAAGGGUGAGAAUCCCUUCCACCGAAUAUCUAAGGUUUCCUGAGGAAGGCUCGUCCGCUCAGGGUUAGUCGGGACCUAAGCCGAGGCCGAUAGGCGUAGGCGAUGGACAACAGGUAGAGAUUCCUGUACCAGUGCUAAUUGUUUAACCGAUGGGGUGACACAGAAGGAUAGGGAAUCGCACGAAUGGAAAUGUGCGUCCAAGCAGUGAGUGUGAGAAGUAGGCAAAUCCGCUUCUCGCGAAGCAUGAGCUGUGAUGGGGAAGGAAAUUAAGUACGGAAGUUCCUGAUUUCACGCUGUCAAGAAAAGCCUCUAGGAAGAGUAGUACUGCCCGUACCGCAAACCGACACAGGUAGAUGAGGAGAGAAUCCUAAGGUGAGCGAGAGAACUCUCGUUAAGGAACUCGGCAAAAUGACCCCGUAACUUCGGGAGAAGGGGUGCUCUAUUAGGGUGCAAGCCCGAGAGAGCCGCAGUGAAUAGGCCCAGGCGACUGUUUAGCAAAAACACAGGUCUCUGCAAAACCGUAAGGUGACGUAUAGGGGCUGACGCCUGCCCGGUGCUGGAAGGUUAAGAGGAGUGCUUAGCUUCGGCGAAGGUACGAAUUGAAGCCCCAGUAAACGGCGGCCGUAACUAUAACGGUCCUAAGGUAGCGAAAUUCCUUGUCGGGUAAGUUCCGACCCGCACGAAAGGCGCAACGAUCUGGGCACUGUCUCAACGAGAGACUCGGUGAAAUUAUAGUACCUGUGAAGAUGCAGGUUACCCGCGACAGGACGGAAAGACCCCGUGGAGCUUUACUGCAACCUGAUAUGGAAUGUUUGUACCGCUUGUACAGGAUAGGUAGGAGCCGAAGAGACGUGUGCGCUAGCAUACGAGGAGGCAAUGGUGGGAUACUACCCUGGCUGUAUGACCAUUCUAACCCGCCACGCUUAGCGCGUGGGGAGACAGUGUCAGGUGGGCAGUUUGACUGGGGCGGUCGCCUCCUAAAGAGUAACGGAGGCGCCCAAAGGUUCCCUCAGAAUGGAUGGAAAUCAUUCGCAGAGUGUAAAGGCACAAGGGAGCUUGACUGCGAGACUGACAAGUCGAGCAGGGACGAAAGUCGGGCUUAGUGAUCCGGUGGUUCCGCAUGGAAGGGCCAUCGCUCAACGGAUAAAAGCUACCCCGGGGAUAACAGGCUUAUCUCCCCCAAGAGUCCACAUCGACGGGGAGGUUUGGCACCUCGAUGUCGGCUCGUCGCAUCCUGGGGCUGUAGUCGGUCCCAAGGGUUGGGCUGUUCGCCCAUUAAAGCGGCACGCGAGCUGGGUUCAGAACGUCGUGAGACAGUUCGGUCCCUAUCCGUCGCGGGCGCAGGAAAUUUGAGAGGAGCUGUCCUUAGUACGAGAGGACCGGGAUGGACACACCGCUGGUGUACCAGUUGUUCCGCCAGGAGCAUCGCUGGGUAGCUAUGUGUGGCAGGGAUAAACGCUGAAAGCAUCUAAGCGUGAAGCCCCCCUCAAGAUGAGAUUUCCCAUUUCUUC
RNAcentral lists this ribosomal RNA (2417 nucleotides) under Listeria monocytogenes. Its description in RNAcentral is "partial 23S ribosomal RNA". It matches the Rfam family "Bacterial large subunit ribosomal RNA", at positions 408 to 2823 of the family's 2925-position model. Lineage: Bacteria; Bacillati; Bacillota; Bacilli; Caryophanales; Listeriaceae. The record is from RNAcentral.